Molecule: non-coding RNA, 70 nt
Organism: Dipodomys ordii (Ord's kangaroo rat)
Lineage: Eukaryota; Metazoa; Chordata; Mammalia; Rodentia; Heteromyidae
Source: Rfam
GGGAAUGUGGCUUAGUGGUAGAGUGCUUGCCUCACAUGCAUGAAGCCCUGGGUUUGACUCCUCGGUACCA